UUGGUUAGUUGUUUUUUUUUGUUUUGUUUUUUAAAUAAUGAGUUCAAAAUGUUAGUCAUUAAUUAAUUCAGCCACAAGAUGACUUGUGUGUUUGCUUUAAACUUUACCAACAGUGUUUUGCAAUGAAACCUAACAAAUCAUCGAUGUAGGUAUAUUAAUCACAGCUUUAAUGAAGUUUGAACAGAUGUAAUGGUGUUAGAGUGGCGUGAGUAAAAUUACAAUAAAGAAGAGAUAAUUUUUUAAUAUUUUAAAUGAGAGACACCACAGAGGUUUUUGUCUUCCCACUUUCUCAUCACGUGUUACUUGCCCUGACCUCAGCAGGAGGUUUGAGGUAAUAGUUUCUAAAGUCAGGCCUCACUACCUGUCUGGGAACUUGGUGAUGAUGAGGUGUCAGGUAUUUAACUUAUAAUUGUGUCCUUUUAAUUCCUGCAGGUAUUGCAGGUCCUGCAGCGGAAGAAAACAAACAAGACCACUGUUUGUAUGAACACCAAUUCCUUUCAUUUAAAAAGACAAUACAAAAUCCAGACAUUUUUACAUGAGCAUAAACAAUUUCAAGUGCAAAUACCAUUACCCACUCCAUGCAACACCGUGGCCAAGUCGUUUCUCAAAGGAAAUUAACCAAAAACAAAAUAAAAAUAAAAAUAAAAACCAUUCUUCAGGCAGCGAGUAAAAAAAAAAGAAAAAAAGAAAAAAAAUUCUCACAGAGGGUAAAUUACAAUAAUAACAGCUUUGCAUUUACUUUUCAGAACAUUCAAUAAAGCUGGUUAAUUUGCCAUAUUUAUUUAUUUAUUUAUUUUCUAUUUAUUUAUUAGACCCUUUUCCCUUAUCCUCCAGAUCCAGCUGCACGGGGACAAACCUUUUGCAGGAAGGCGAUAUAAACACAUCUAACCUUAUAUGUUAUAUGUUGUACCAGAAUGGAGAAUUCUUAUUCAGCCUAAACCUGCUUUAAAAAGGAGAGCAAAACAAAAUGAAAAGAUUUCUGGGUUCUUAAGUGGUGCAACUGUCUUAACAUUUUACCCUAAUAUUGGGUGGUCAUGAGGGAGGAAAACAAAAUACUGUAUAUACUUUCCUUCUCAAGUAAAGGCUCAGGAAUUAGACACUGAAUUGGUAGUUUAAUCUGUAUACUGAAUAAACUGCAAACUCAGUGUAUUUCAUUUUUCAAUUUUUUUAUUUUGGCAGAAUGAAUGUUUUAAGUAAUAAUUAAUUGCACGUCUGGGCUGGUCUUUGGAAGAGAAUCUGGGGGGGGGGGGGGCAGAAAAUAAUUUUCUUUGCAAUAUAAACGUUAUUAAAAAAGAAUUUUAUAAAAACAAACACAAUUUCUACAAUAUUUUCUUUUUACAUACCAGUUCAAACUAAAAGAUCAACCCUUUGGACGUUUUUAACGACUGAAUCGAGUUUCUGUUCAGGAGGGAGAAAUUAAAGAUGAAUCCCUUUGCUUGACACUUCUUAUUUAAGGGCUGUUAUUAAUACGAGACUGUUAUUUGGGAUCGGCUUUAGCUCUUAGACUUGACAUUAGUCUACGUUCAUUAAUAUUUACAAUAUACAAUAAAACAAACAAAAAAAACAAAACAGAAAUCCUACCAUGGAGAGACAUCACCCGGUGUUAACGAGUGUGUU
This is a long non-coding RNA of Ictalurus punctatus (channel catfish), 1617 nucleotides long. The record is from Ensembl. Lineage: Eukaryota; Metazoa; Chordata; Actinopteri; Siluriformes; Ictaluridae.